GGGACCGUAGGGUAGCAUGGUCCAUCCUCCCAGCCAUUGACGCUGGAGACCCGAGUUCAAAUCUCGGCGGUCCCA
RNAcentral lists this transfer RNA (75 nucleotides) under Methanobacteriaceae archaeon. RNAcentral describes it as "tRNA-Gln". It matches the Rfam family "tRNA". Rfam says of the family: Transfer RNA (tRNA) molecules are approximately 80 nucleotides in length. The record is from RNAcentral. Lineage: Archaea; Methanobacteriati; Methanobacteriota; Methanobacteria; Methanobacteriales; Methanobacteriaceae.